RNAcentral lists this ribosomal RNA (463 nucleotides) under uncultured bacterium. RNAcentral's name for it is "bacterial SSU rRNA". It matches the Rfam family "Bacterial small subunit ribosomal RNA", at positions 28 to 507 of the family's 1533-position model. The record is from RNAcentral.
GACGAACGCUGGCGGCGUGCUUAACACAUGCAAGUCGAACGGAAAGGCCCUGCUUGCAGGGUACUCGAGUGGCGAACGGGUGAGUAACACGUGGGUGAUCUGCCCUGCACUUCGGGAUAAGCCUGGGAAACUGGGUCUAAUACCGGAUAGGACCAUCGUUUAGUGUCGGUGGUGGAAAGUUUUUCGGUGCAGGAUGAGCUCGCGGCCUAUCAGCUUGUUGGUGGGGUAAUGGCCUACCAAGGCGUCGACGGGUAGCCGGCCUGAGAGGGUGGACGGCCACAUUGGGACUGAGACACGGCCCAGACUCCUACGGGAGGCAGCAGUGGGGAAUAUUGCACAAUGGGCGCAAGCCUGAUGCAGCGACGCCGCGUGGGGGAUGAAGGCCUUCGGGUUGUAAACUCCUUUCAACCAUGACGAAGCGUAAGUGACGGUAGUGGUAGAAGAAGCACCGGCUAACUACGUG